RNAcentral lists this long non-coding RNA (1282 nucleotides) under Anas platyrhynchos platyrhynchos (common mallard). RNAcentral describes it as "lncRNA (ENSAPLG00000027443.1)". The record is from RNAcentral. Lineage: Eukaryota; Metazoa; Chordata; Aves; Anseriformes; Anatidae.
AUUCUUCUUUACCUUUACUCAUGAAUUCCACUGAUUUUCAGUAAUUCUCAUGGAGUGUGGGAAGUGAAAAUUUGGGAGAAAAUACACAUCAAGAAUUGCCCCAGUAACACUGCAAAAUACACAAAGGAAAGAAAAAUGCAAACAUUUUGGAAGACAAAUACCAAUAUCACCCUGCAACACUAGAAGAUCCUUCAAAGACUGCCAGACCAAAGUGGGGGAGAAAAAGGCAACAAUUGGUGUGAGGAAUCAUAGUCCCUCAAAUUAUUUUACAGAAGAAAAGAAUGCUGAGAAAGAUGUUCCCUGAGAUGAUUAUCUACUGAUGCAAAUGGAGAAAUUGCUACUAAGGUGAGCAACAUCAGCAGCCACUUGCCAGGAGGAGAAAAAAUGUUAUUUCCUCUCCCUUUGCAUUUUAAAAUGCUGAUGCGGCAGCAGGUGUCUAACAGCUUCAAAAGCAUGAAAAUCAAGCAUUAAAAUGUUGUCUGAAUGCAGUACUGGUUUGUCUCACUCAUCUGACUAUAUCCAGACACCUGCUGCAAUCUUUCUUUCUUAAAGUUGAUUUGCAAAUAGGAUUUGGAGAACUCCAUUAGCUCUAGAAUAAUAUACAGAAUAGUGCACGGAGCACUGUGUCACGGGUGAGAAUGGGUAUUACACAGCCUUGAAGCUUCAUUUUUCUUAUUUUGUUUUCUUUCUGCUACAACAAAGACAUGGAUCACUGCUUUCCUCUCUGUGUGGUGGCCCCAGCAUGCUCUCUGCCAUGUAGUUAACAUCAUAUCCACCUUGGAAAAUCACUGGAGCAUGCAGCUGGCCCAUGGGAGUCAGGCAGGUGGUGCCUUAUUAGUGUAUUGCAUGGAUUUGCAGUUUCUCUAAAGCUUGCUUACUGAAGCGUCAUUCUUGCAAAUGCUGCUCUCACACUUAUUGCUUUAAUCUUUAGGCUAGUUCUACUACAAAUUAAUAGAAGCAAAUGAUGUGACUAAAGUACGCAUAUUCAUAUACAUCAACUUUCAUUAGGUUAUACAACAGUCCAUACAAGAAGAACUUUCAGAAUGUUUUUUUUUGAGGAACUUUGGAGAUACUUUUCAUAUUAUUUUAGCUGACAGCUCUAAUGUGAUUAAGUAAACAAGUCUCCACCAUUUGUAAACAAGCCCCAAAGAGGUCACAGCUUUUACAGAGAUGUUUGUAUUUGCUUGUUUGGUGAAUUGUUUGCACAAGUACUUGUAGCUCUUUACACAGACUAAUUUUUAGCUAUGGCUUUCAAAAGCCCCCGUAUGCCAUGCUGAGUAGA